Molecule: long non-coding RNA, 2614 nt
Organism: Rhododendron vialii
Lineage: Eukaryota; Viridiplantae; Streptophyta; Magnoliopsida; Ericales; Ericaceae
Exons: 7
Source: RefSeq, a predicted model, not a curated record
UUUUGGUUAUAAGGAACUUUUCUGGCCUUUCCUGAGUUGAAGCGAAUAGAAGACAAGAACAGCCGCCAGGUCUCCUCCAAACGACGCAGCAGUCUCACGAAGAACGACAGCGAACUCUCUAUCCUCUGCGACGUUGAUAUCGGCCUCUUCAUCUUCUCCGGCCGCAGCUGCCUCUUCGAAUUCUGCAGCGGUGACAGGUGGAAGCACAGUUCAACUUUUGUAGUGGCUGAUGCUGUCCUUGAGAGAAGACGCUUGAUUAUUGCUCCAUUUAUGUGUUCAUAAGGCUGUGCCAACUCGGGUGAGUAAUUUCUAGGGUUUCAAUCGUCAGUAUCAGAAGAUAAUUCUGAAUGGAUGCUCCUUGGUCACUCCGUGUAUUUCCCCGAGGGUAUUCAACUCAAAGUCUCAUUUCUCGGGUUCAUAUGGUGGCAUCCCUCCUCUGCCUUCCCGUGUUUCAUGUCGAAGCAUUAAAAGUUCAUGGAAACCCUUUCAAGGGCUGACAAUGCAGUCUUUCAUCGGUAUGUAGACAUGGUUGUUAAGUUGAUGCUCUCUCAUUUUUUUGAUUUAGGUUUCAUGUUUUGAAAUUAGAUGGAUUUGUGUAAUUGGAGUGAUUUUUGCAGUAAAAAAGCUUAGUUUCUUGUACCCAGAUUGUAUGAUGUUAGUUGAAGGAAUAUAUGGCUUUGGUUCUUGCUAAGUGAUGUUUUUUCUAUGUGGUCAUUUUUAUUCAAAAUCUUAGUUGAUCAAGGCUUGAAUUAUUUUGGCACGGGCUUCUUUCAGCCUACAUUAUCCAAUAAUGCAUACAUUGGAGGCAUGUAAUAAUGUCGGACUGCAUAUAUCUAGGAGGCAUAUGUUAUGGUAGAUUGAAGUCGUGAGAGUGUGUUAAGGCCGUGGAACAGAAGUAUUGCCUUCACAUUGCUGCUCUAGGAUUAUAUAACCGGAUUGGGAUGGGUCCUAUAAUGCAUAGUACAUAGCCAUUAAGACAUCUGUCAUAAGCUUCGACUGUGUGGCAUACCUAUUGAAUUUAUGGAUUUGUGUUCAAACAAAAUGGCAAACAGGAUUGUGACGCUCAUCAAUACACUUGUAAUAAAAGAACCAACUAUGGUAAGCCAAACCAUGAUUUGAAUUUAUGUUUUCGCCCUCUGAAGUUUUCCUUGCUGUUUGGUCCUUGCAUGUGUGCAGCUGGGGUUAGUUUUGGUAUUUUGCCUUUGGGUUGGGAACGGUCGGUAGCGAUAGAGAUGAUAGGUGGUUCUCCGGAAUUCACUCAGCAAAUUGGUGCUCUGCUUUCGGAUUUCACUGAUUUUUGGUCCUUAUUCAGCCGAUUGAUUUGUACUCAGUUUGACCCUUCCGAAUUUUCCAGUGAUCGUACCCUAACCUUUACCAGUUUUUUCGUUGCUUUGCCGGGAAGCAAGAACUACAGAGAAAGUAAAAUUGAAGAAGAAGUUGCCGACAAAGAUGAACACACUUGAAAACCUAUCCACCUCGAAACGAAAUACGCAUAACACUAAAUCUGCAGAUGUAGUGUGAACUGUGAAGCCGUUUUCAGGGGUUUGUGCUGCAUCUGACAUAUGGAGUGUUGGCUGCACAAUGAUUGAACUUCUUACAUGCGUGCCUCCAUACUAUGAUCUCCAGCUCUUCCAAAUCGUCCAGGUUUCUUUUCUUUGUGUUAUACAGUUUGUACUGCUCUCAUGAUGAAACAGUUGUGAUCCCUAAAUGCCUUGUUCUUCUGUGGUGGUUAUACUUGAUCUUUAAUUAUCUUUAGUAGUAAUUGGAGUCCAUUUUUUUCCAUUGUUCAUUCUGGAUGUAUAGUCAAGAAUAUUGCUUAAUAUCUCUCGGAAGUCAACUGGACCAUUUUGAUAUUGUGUAUUAGAUUGGGAAUCUUGGAAAUAGCAAUAGCAACUGGAUUUUCCUUUUUGAUUUCUCUGGAUGAGCAUCCUCCAAUACUAGACGGUCUAUCUCCUGACAUUACUGAUUUUCUAUCUACAAAAGCUUGUUUCUACUGUCUCUCCAUCUGCCGGUGGAAUUGAUACAGUAAGUACUCUAUCUCAUUUCUCAAUCUCUGCCUCUCUUAGUAUUUUAGAUUUAUUGAUUUCUCCUUGUGCCAUGCGUUUCUCUCGAUCUCAUUUCUCAAUCUCUGCCUCCCAAUUUGUGAUGUUUGGGGGUGAUUUUGGGUUAUCUGGAUAAUUUCUACCCAUUGUUGAAGCUGAAUAUGGCCAUGGGAUAAGCUAUAACAGGCAAGUUCUACGAGCUUCCAGAUUUGCAUCCUCUACUUAAAGGGGUUAGACUCUUACAUGUUUAGAUGCACACUCUAAUUCAAUGGACUUGCUAAAAUUACAGUUGGACAAUCGAGAACCAGAUGACCCAUGCUCAUACCUUCUUGCUAUAUGGACACCUGGGAAGUACAACACAAUAGUUAAGGUGGCUCAUAACAUCGCUAGAACAAUACCGAUGCAUGAUGAUCUAUACAUAAUCUAGAAGACAUGAGCGUCUACCUCAGCCCCUCUGCAAUCUCAUUGCGAGACUAAGCACGAGGUCAAUGUGGACAGUUGGACAAUUAGCUCAUUCAUUUUUAAUCCUGCUCUGAUUUUGCUAAUUGAUUCUACUUUAUGUCCAAUGUCAU